RNAcentral lists this ribosomal RNA (208 nucleotides) under uncultured bacterium. RNAcentral describes it as "partial 16S ribosomal RNA". It matches the Rfam family "Bacterial small subunit ribosomal RNA", at positions 355 to 555 of the family's 1533-position model. The record is from RNAcentral.
UAGGGAAUCUUCCACAAUGGACGCAAGUCUGAUGGAGCAACGCCGCGUGAGUGAAGAAGGUUUUCGGAUCGUAAAGCUCUGUUGUGGUGAAGAAGGAUAGAGGCAGUAACUGGUCUUUAUUUGACGGUAAUCAACCAGAAAGUCACGGCUAACUACGUGCCAGCAGCCGCGGUAAUACGUAGGUGGCAAAGCGUUGUCCGGAUUUAUU